ACAAAAUUUUCUUUUAAAUUAUGCUAAAGUAGCAUAAAUGUAAAUCUACAAUGCCUGAUUGAAUUUUAUAUUUGAAUAACCCCAGUUGGGUUUUUUUUAUUUUACCAUUAAUUUUGAAUGACCGGACAAAUAUAAUACCAGGAUAAAUACAGGAUGAAGGAGACUACACAUUUUCCAUAAACUCAAGCAAAUUCAACCAAAUAUUUUGGAAUUCCAGUACAGUAUGAAAAUUAAAUUUCAAUUUACAAUUCGAAGUGGGGUAAGCAGAACACUUGUUUUACAAUUCGGCUUCUAAUUCAACCAAGUCCAUCGAAUUUUAUGAGUUUCAAACUUCGUUAUCGUCGCUUAUCUACGAUUCCACAUCACACUGAAGCUUCAGUUGUAGGCCUACCGGGUUACUAACAUAGAUUUAAUAAUCAAAACUUGUAAACUGAAUAUUUUGUAACUUCAGAAAUGAAAUUGAUUUUUAUGUUGAAAAUAUAAGAUUCAAUCGGA
Nilaparvata lugens (brown planthopper) is the source of this 495-nucleotide long non-coding RNA. RefSeq lists it as uncharacterized. The transcript has 2 exons. Lineage: Eukaryota; Metazoa; Arthropoda; Insecta; Hemiptera; Delphacidae. The record is from RefSeq and is a predicted model, not a curated record.